This 432-nucleotide ribosomal RNA is filed under the name uncultured bacterium. RNAcentral describes it as "partial 16S ribosomal RNA". It matches the Rfam family "Bacterial small subunit ribosomal RNA", at positions 29 to 506 of the family's 1533-position model. The record is from RNAcentral.
AACGAACGCUGGCGGCAUGCCUAACACAUGCAAGUCGAACGAGACCUUCGGGUCUAGUGGCGCACGGGUGCGUAACGCGUGGGAACCUGCCCUUAGGUUCGGAAUACCUCCCCGAAAGGGGUGCUAAUACCGGAUAAUGUCUUCGGACCAAAGAUUUAUCGCCUUUGGAUGGGCCCGCGUUGGAUUAGCUAGUUGGUAGGGUAAAAGCCUACCAAGGCGACGAUCCAUAGCUGGUCUGAGUGGAUGAUCAGCAACACUGGGACUGGGACACGGCCCAGACUCCUAGGGGAGGCAGCAGGGGGGAAGAUUGGACGAUGGGCGAAAGCCUGAUCCAGCAAUGCCGCGUGAGUGAUGAAGGCGUUAGGGUUGUAAAGCUCUGUUACCCGGGAUGAUAAUGACAGUACCGGGAGAAUAAGCUCCGGCUAACUCCGU